AUUCAAAAGAGGAUUUUGCUUCUGACUCCACCACCAAGUGGCUUGCCCAGGUUGGGGUCAUAGGAUCUCUGACCAUUGGACUCCUUGGUGCGUUGCUGAUAUUUAAGAGGCGCACCACCCAACGUCACAGUGGCCAUCCAACAGACAGGCAUCACGAUGAGGAGGCAGAAGGAAAAGUUAUUCUUACUGUCUAAACAGGGACAGUCCACAGGAUCAGCAUUCCAGUCUCUAGUAACUGAUUCAUUAACUGGCAGUCUCUUGAAGGGACUGUUUCCUUGACGAUCAAAAAGGGGCUUGUCACCAUCACUAUCCUUUGAUGGACUGUUUCCUGUUAAGUGUCCGAUGACAGUCACUUUGGCACUCAGGUCAUUCUGAUUGAGGCAUUUGUUUCUUCAUAAUCAGGUAAUCUGAUCACUGUUCACACUAUACUACAAGGUGCAUGGGUAAACAUUCCAAGUUUCUAAUACUGUAGAUUCUACCAUAGUGGUUGUUAUUAUUAUACUGUAACACCAGACCAUCUAAUCACUAACUUUACACACUGUUCUAUACUAAGGUUGUGCGAACAUUCAAUAUAUGGGACGAAUGUGUGUCCCCACCACAUUGUUUCUAUUCUCUUUGUUUAAGUCCCAAAUGGCACCCAAUUCCCUAUAUAGUGCACUACUUUUGACCAGAGGGAAUAGGGUGCCAUUUGGAAUGCAACCUUUGACUUGACUUUGUGUUUUAUAAUUUUUGGCCUGGAAUGUAACAUAUAACCACUCUUAUUACCAGAAGUCAGCCUGUCGCUCCUACCACAGCUGUUUAUGUUUUUGUACUUCCUCUUUCUCCUUUCUCCUUGUCUUGCGCUAUCUGCUGGUGGAACGUUCAUAUCUAUAUCUAUAUCUUGCUCAGGGCUCACCUCCAGGAAGUGCAAUGGAAUGAAACUGUAAACAUGAAAGAUAAUUGUUGUUUAAAUAGAUACUACUGUGCCUGCCACUAUUCUCCCUGGGCUUUGAUUCUACUACAAUAUCUAUGGGAAGAAUGUGAGUCCCCACCACAUUGUUUCUCUUCUCUUUG
This is a long non-coding RNA of Coregonus clupeaformis (lake whitefish), 1053 nucleotides long. RefSeq lists it as uncharacterized. The record is from RefSeq and is a predicted model, not a curated record. Lineage: Eukaryota; Metazoa; Chordata; Actinopteri; Salmoniformes; Salmonidae. The transcript has 3 exons.